Long non-coding RNA from Girardinichthys multiradiatus, 749 nucleotides. RefSeq lists it as uncharacterized. Lineage: Eukaryota; Metazoa; Chordata; Actinopteri; Cyprinodontiformes; Goodeidae. The record is from RefSeq and is a predicted model, not a curated record. The transcript is spliced from 3 exons.
AUGUCUGCAUCGUCUCCCUUGCCCUCCGUCCCUCCCUCUCUUGCUGUCACGUUUACAGGCCCACACUGACUUUCCAUCCGGGACAGAGUUCUCUGCAGCCAGACAGGAUGGUAUUCCUGCUCUCUGAGUCAUCGCCAUGAUCUCCAAGGCUGCAGAGAGGAGGUCUGUUGUGGACACUUAUAAUAGACUAAUAGUGUGGGACACAGAGAGAGUCUACAGACUAGAAUUCAUCGAAAUUAUUGGCUGACGUUCUGCACCCACAGAACUGCAAAAUUCAUCCAGAAAAGUGGCCAUUAGAGCAUGUCGCCAGCUGAGAGGGACAUGAGGCUUUAACAGGAUGUCAGGACAACCAGCAACUAUCACAUUUACAGAGAUGGGGAUGUCAUCAGUGGCAACAAAGGAAACUAUACGGGACGGAAAAUGGAAAAAAGCCACACGAAGGUGAGAUUAUGUCUGGGUUGCCGUGCUUCCAGUCUUUCCUAGCUCUGAACAGAGUAAUGUGCCCCCACUCAUGUCUGAUGAGAAAACCAGCGCCAGAGGGGAUUACCACUCAGACAGGGUAAACCUGCAACUCAUUUACAGAUUCCCAUGGAACAUAUGGAGCUGAAUGCAGACAUGUGCUGGCUGCCUUUGAAUGUAUGCGGCUGGGCGACUGAGAGAUACCCCCCACUCUAGCAUCCUAAAACACUGAACCCUGUUCUGCUAGUUGAAUUUAGGAAGUUUUGAAUUGAUCUCACAGAUUCCUAACA